GGUCUAGACAUAUGGUAAUGAACAAGAGACAGGUGACACUAGGGGUGAGGAACAGGUGAAACAAAUCAGGGCUGGGCAGACAAUCACAAAAGGCAGGAAACACAAGACAGGAAGUGAAACUAGA
Long non-coding RNA from Etheostoma spectabile (orangethroat darter), 124 nucleotides. RefSeq lists it as uncharacterized. The record is from RefSeq and is a predicted model, not a curated record. NCBI's taxonomy places the organism in Eukaryota, Metazoa, Chordata, Actinopteri, Perciformes, Percidae. The transcript is spliced from 3 exons.